CAAACCCCACACGUUGAGCCUGCUUCUACCUAUGCAAAGCCCAAGUCUUUCCUCUUUCUUUGUUCACGUCAAAGUUGGGCAGAGGGAAAGAAAACCUCGAUCAGCAACUCUGUUCCACGUUACCAACAUGCAGAUGGCAACUCCUCCAAGAACAUCACUCCAGACAUUCAAAAGAGAGAAUCCCAAACUAGAGGUCGUCGUCCAUCCUCCUCUUCUCGCCCUUUCUCUCUUUGCUGGGCAUAUCAGUGUGUUUGCAUGCCUCGAAACUCCUAGUUAGGGACCUCCAAUCAAAAAACUUUCUUCAUCAAAGUUAUUCGCCUAUGUCUCCUAUAUCUAGUCUCCAAAUUUCAGCUCCAUCGGAGUCGUUUUGAGACCUGUACACCCCUCGAAGCGGAAGCUAUUCGGAAGCAAGCCUGUUCCGGAUUUCUGCUUGAAUUCCCUCUCUUGCUCUACCCAAAUCCCCCACAUCUUGCUUGAAAUUCUACCAACAGUUGAUUGAGCGAAUUUCUUGGCCUGCAACUGGGCUCGAUCCAAUCAGCUCCCUCAGCUCUCCUUCCUGUUGAAACCCUCAAGAGAAACUCACCUUUUUGGUUAGUCUUUGGAUCUUGUGAAGUGGUGGUUGCUACAAGGUUGCAUUGAGGCCAAGUGCUGCAAGAGAAAGCUCGAGUUCCAGAUGUUUGGGUGUUUUAAAUCGACAUCGGCACUUCCCAAGAUCUGUCGUUCGUGUCGGAUCAUGCAGCUUGAUUGAACUUCCUCCUAGGCAGUGUAGAUGACCUAACACGUCUCCUCCUUGUUGGGUUCCGAUUUAGGUGGACACGGGUUCAGCUCGCUUGGUUUAGACCUUUGGAGUCUUUCUUGGUUUGUUUAGUUUGAGUGUGUUUUUUUCUAUUUUGGUAUGUAAUAUUGUGGGCCAUUUUUUUUUAUAUUCUAGUAUUGUAAUUUUUUUUUUUAGGGCAACGGAAGACAUAUCCAUGGAUGAAAAUCAUACGACCUCUCUCGGUCAAGCUAUAAGGGUCCGAAGAUCCCUCAUAUUAUAGAUCGAUGCUCAGAAAAGAAUGAAUAAAUUCCAAAAAUGAACAUCCAAAAAGACUAAAAUCCUAAAGGAACUACAGAAAACUAAAGUACAUAAAUUAAAAACUCCCUAACCCUAUACUGUCCUAGAAUGGAACCACUGUCUUGAACAUCUUGACGCCUAAGACCCUCUUGGUGUACGUCGCAACAAUCAACACAGCCAUAGCAACGCUCUAGGAAUAGCUAGACUAAAAGGAGGAUAUGCCCCUUCCCAUAGAGCCCAAAUAACUCCCAACGCAAGUGAGAGAGGAAGAAGGGGAACUGGCCAGGCCCAGUUCACCGGACUGCAGCUCUGCAACCCAACAAGGCAGAGGCCCAAGUCCACUGCCCAAACCCUUCGUCCACAACACCCAAAUUGGGCAGAUCUGAAUUUGUAGGGAAGCAGCCACCGCUCCAGCGGCCUCUAUCGGCCUUCCAGCAUCAGGAAAAUUGGGAAAGACCUCGCCUUUGGUCGAAGUCGGAUAAUGAGACGCCGCCGUGACAACAAACUGCCCGCUUCAACGUCCGAGCCACACGCCUUCCGCCCAAAGACGCCAAUUCGCUCCAAAUGGAAAUACCACCUUCGCAAGAAAAGCCUGCAGGCCUGAUGUCAACCACUGCCAUCGACCUCAAGCACAGCCCGAAAGAAACCAAAACCGGACUCGUUUCAGGCCAACUCACCACCAUCACGCCCGAGAUCGAAGUCUCGUCCUCCCUCAUCUAGAAGAACAACGCCAAAGCACCCUGUUACAAAUUGAAGCCAAGAGGCGCCGCCGCACUGCUCGCGAAACCUAGGUUUAGGCUUCGAUUUGGCUCUGACUUUUCGGGAGCUCUUUAAGAGAAAGAGGAAUUGACUUGAAUCUAGUAUUGUAUUGUUUUUUAUUUAUUAAAAUAUUAAUA
Long non-coding RNA from Rosa rugosa (rugosa rose), 1950 nucleotides. RefSeq lists it as uncharacterized. NCBI's taxonomy places the organism in Eukaryota, Viridiplantae, Streptophyta, Magnoliopsida, Rosales, Rosaceae. The transcript is spliced from 4 exons. The record is from RefSeq and is a predicted model, not a curated record.